Molecule: unclassified non-coding RNA, 209 nt
Filed under: uncultured Sebacina
Lineage: Eukaryota; Fungi; Basidiomycota; Agaricomycetes; Sebacinales; Sebacinaceae
Description: sequence contains ITS2
Source: RNAcentral
UACUCUCACACUCUCCGAUCCUGUGGAUUUGGGGAGCGGUGGACUUGGGUGCUUGCUGCUUUCCUUGUGGCUCACCUCAAAUGCGUCAGUGCAUCUCUUGGUUGGACAUAGUACGGCGUGAUAAGUGUCUUCGCCGGCGCCUCAUCAUAAGAGGGUGGCCAAUUGGGAGCUCUGUGCUUUCCAACUGUCUUCGGACACUCUCUGACAAC